This is a long non-coding RNA of Zingiber officinale, 479 nucleotides long. RefSeq lists it as uncharacterized. The record is from RefSeq and is a predicted model, not a curated record. NCBI's taxonomy places the organism in Eukaryota, Viridiplantae, Streptophyta, Magnoliopsida, Zingiberales, Zingiberaceae. The transcript is spliced from 3 exons.
GGACAGGAACUUGAUAGGAACUUCUAUAAAUAACAAAGGCCAGCACCUCCACUACCGAUUCGUUCCUUUUAACCUCUCUUUUAGUUCUCUCUCCGAUGGAUCCUGGUAGCUGGUGUUCGAGGGAAUAUUUGGUUAUCAGCAUUUGAUCUUCAUUUUCAGCAUCUUAAUUCUCUUCCCCGAGCCCAUUGAUGGAACCUUUUUGAUGUCAUUUUGCUUGGCUUGAUACGAUGUGAUCGACUCCCAGUUGCCUGUUCCACAAAUCUCAAGUGUUCGCUGUCAUCACGUCUCCAAUCGGCAGUCUCCAGUGUUGCUGCUGCCAUUGUCAUUGUCACGCCAAUCAAUUUAUUGUAAUGGUAGAUUAUGUUUAUCCCAAAUGUUCCUAACAGUCUGUUCUUAGAGAAAUAAAUCAUGAAGUUAAUUUAUAGUUGAUCGUCAAAUGACGAGGGUGAGGGUGGGAGAGAUUUUUUUUCUUUGAAGAC